AUUGAACGCUGGCGGCAGGCUUAACACAUGCAAGUCGAGCGGGGUGAUGGUGCUUGCACUAUCACUUAGCGGCGGACGGGUGAGUAAUGCUUAGGAAUCUGCCUAUUAGUGGGGGACAACAUCUCGAAAGGGAUGCUAAUACCGCAUACGUCCUACGGGAGAAAGCAGGGGAUCACUUGUGACCUUGCGCUAAUAGAUGAGCCUAAGUCGGAUUAGCUAGGUGGUGGGGUAAAGGCCUACCAAGGCGACGAUCUGUAGCGGGUCUGAGAGGAUGAUCCGCCACACUGGGACUGAGACACGGCCCAGACUCCUACGGGAGGUAGCAGUGGGGAAUAUUGGACAAUGGGGGGAACCCUGAUCCAGCCAUGCCGCGUGUGUGAAGAAGGCCUUAUGGUUGUAAAGCACUUUAAGCGAGGAGGAGGCUCUUUUGGUUAAUACCCAAGAUGAGUGGACGUUACUCGCAGAAUAAGCACCGGCUAACUCUGUGCCAGCCGCCGCAGUAA
Molecule: ribosomal RNA, 503 nt
Filed under: uncultured bacterium
Lineage: Bacteria
Description: partial 16S ribosomal RNA
Rfam family: Bacterial small subunit ribosomal RNA
Source: RNAcentral